This 1498-nucleotide ribosomal RNA is filed under the name Phycisphaerales bacterium. Its description in RNAcentral is "bacterial SSU rRNA". It matches the Rfam family "Bacterial small subunit ribosomal RNA". Lineage: Bacteria; Pseudomonadati; Planctomycetota; Phycisphaerae; Phycisphaerales. The record is from RNAcentral.
CAAUUGAAGAGUUUGAUCCUGGCUCAGAUUGAACGCUGGCGGCAUGGCUAAAACAUGCAAGUCGAACGAUGAAAGCACCUUCGGGUGUGCAUGAAGUGGCGAAAGGGCGAGGAAUACGUUCCUACGUACCCCAAGGUCAGGGAUAGCCCCGGGAAACUGGGAGUAAUACCUGAUGACAUCUCCGGAUCAAAGGCUUCGGCCACCUUGGGAGCGGGGAACGCCCUAUCAGGUUGUUGGUGAGGUAACGGCUCACCAAGCCAAAGACGGGUAGCGGGUGUGAGAGCAUGACCCGCCGCAUCGGGACUGAGACACUGCCCGGACUCCUACGGGAGGCUGCAGUAACGAAUAUUCCGCAAUGCGCGAAAGCGUGACGGAGCAAUGCCGCGUGUGGGAUGAAUCUCUUCGGAGUGUAAACCACUGUCAGAGUUUAGGAACUCAAUGACCAGACUCAAAGGAAGGACCGGCUAACUUCGUGCCAGCAGCCGCGGUAAUACGAAGGGUCCGAGCGUUAAUCGGAAUCACUGGGCUUAAAGCGUGCGUAGGCGGACUUGAAGGCACCUUGUGAAAUCCCUCGGCUCAACCGAGGAACUGCAGGGUGAACCAUGAGUCUCGAGACAGGUAGAGGUUGUCGGAACGAUAGGUGGAGUGGUGAAAUGCGUUGAUAUCUAUCGGAACGCCAAUGGAGAAGUCAGGCAACUGGGCCUGUUCUGACGCUGAGGCACGAAAGCGUGGGUAGCGAACGGGAUUAGAUACCCCGGUAGUCCACGCCGUAAACGAUGCGUACUAGGUUGGGGAAGCUCUGACGCUGUUCCCGGCUGAAGCAAAAGUAUUAAGUACGCCGCCUGGGGAGUACGGUCGCAAGGCUAAAACUCAAAGGAAUUGACGGGGGCUCACACAAGCGGUGGAGCAUGUGGCUUAAUUCGAAGCAACGCGAAGAACCUUAUCCUGGGCUUGACAUGUACGAAUUAGCCUGUCGAAAGACAGGUGACGCCUUCGGGUGGAACGUACACAGGUGCUGCAUGGCUGUCGUCAGCUCGUGCUGUGAAGUGUCGGGUUAAGUCCCUUAACGAGCGCAACCCCUGUCGUUAGUUGCUAGCAGGUAAUGCUGAGGACUCUAACGAGACUGCCGGUGUUAAACCGGACGAAGGUGGGGAUGACGUCAAGUCCUCAUGGCCUUUAUGCCCAGGGCUGCACACGUGCUACAAUGGCAGGUACAGAACGAUGCAAUACCGCGAGGUGGAGCAAAUCGGAAAACGCCAGCCCCAGUUCGGAUUGCAGGCUGCAACUCGCCUGCAUGAAGUUGGAAUCGCUAGUAAUCGCGGAUCAGCAUGCCGCGGUGAAUACGUUCCUGAGCCUUGUACACACCGCCCGUCAAGUCAUGGAAGCUGGUAGCGCCCGAAGUCGCCCUGCUUCAGGGGUGCCGAAGGUGAGCUCGGUGACUGGGACUAAGUCGUAACAAGGUAGCCGUAGGGGAACCUGCGGCUGGAUCACCUCCUUU